RNAcentral lists this long non-coding RNA (1880 nucleotides) under Spirodela polyrhiza (greater duckweed). RNAcentral's name for it is "long non-coding RNA (SPOL_LNC000120)". Lineage: Eukaryota; Viridiplantae; Streptophyta; Magnoliopsida; Alismatales; Araceae. The record is from RNAcentral.
CCUUUCACGGUACCAUGUUCUUCAUUAAUAAUCAGGUAUCCAACUCAGAANNNNNNNNNNNNNNNNNNNNUUCACAUCUAUGCUUUCUUGAUUGACUUUGCUCAAACUUCCUAUGGCUUCUUGUGAAAUUUCCGACAAAAAUGUGUUGAUUUAUGUGUCCAAUCAGAUUUGAAUUGUUCUCAGGAUUUUCGUGGGACAACGACCGAAUUGACGUGUUCCUGACAUAAUUGAUAAGCUAACUUUGAUGUAUAGCGAAUGUCUUAUUACUGAUCCACUUAAUUGUUGGUUUUCAUUUAAAAGUUUCCCGUUUUGCCUAACGGCCCAUUAGGUAUUCAUAGGAUCCCCAAUGCUUGCGGUAGUUAGCUUCAACAGACAAUUUUAUGUAAAGUUGGCUUAGCAUUCAUUUGAUGAAAUUUCUAUAUCCACAGCUUUAUCAUGAAAGCAUGAUAUAAUUGUAAAAUAUAUUGAACUCACUGCACAUUUCCUCUGGUUUUUUCUUAUCGAAAUACUCCAAUGAGAGUCUUCUCUUCUGAUCUCAUGUCUGCAGCAGACAAUUUUAUGUUCCUUAUCUUUUUCCAUCUUAUUAUCUGCCUUUCUGUUGUCAUUCAGUAUAGGCCUUACUGUUUGUGUUAAUGCAAGGUUUUGAUAAUUAGCAUUUCGAGAGGAAUACUCUGUUGGCAACCGUCAUGAAAUAGCCUUUGGUAAAGAUUUAUCCAUCUUAUCAUUCAGAAAGAAUCCCUCGUACAAAGUCAAUUGUAUCCAUCCAUCCAUCUAUUCCACAGUUGUUUCACAUUUGCCACUCUUAACUAGUCAUGCUCUUUUCAUUCUCCACCACGCUUCCACUCAGGGAAGCUGCCUUCAGUCUGCAUUUUGAGUGAUUACGCUUUCUGAAUUACCCUCUCAUUGAUCCUCCAAUGGUGGUACAUGAACAGAGGCUGUUCGGUUUUAUUAUUUCUAUAUUCGCUGCCUUCUUUUCUUUCGCUUUUUUUUCUUUUACUAUGUUUGUAUUUAUUAGUACCAUCUCUCUUAGAUUCCUUUUUGGUUUGAAAACAUUUUCGUUCUUUAGUUUACAUUACGCGAGUGACACGCUACGCAUAAGUUUGUUAUGAUGUUUUCGAGUGGUCUAAGUAUAAGCAUUAAACUAAAUCACUCUGCAAUCAGGUACCAUGUUGAGUGAUUGAAGAAAUUUUGGUCCCGUGUUAAUUAUUUAAUAUCUUCUUAAAAUGGUGCUUGUGUCUGAGUUAUGACACAGGUUAAUGCCUAAUUUGGUGGGAAGCUUUUGUGGUAACUUAUACAGGAUUCACUGGCAGAUUAAUAUAUUUUCAUGGUUCAGCAGACAUAUUCUCCCAGAAACGUAUAACUAGAGCACAACGUGGGCAUGCUUUCACAUGGUUGGAGUUGGCCUACCUCUGAAGCUACGAACCGUGCGAACUUCUUCCCUCUCCAGGGCUUGCAGAAGCUUCUGGUCAAAGGGGAUGGCCCUCCCUUGCUUUUACAACGCUGCCAUGCCCACCUUUUUAUAGGGAAGAGUCGUCAGUACACAUCUCUUAAGUUUCAAAAACCAGUUGUAACUAGUUUGAGGGGACAUGAUUUCUUUGUGGGUCCGACCGUUGUGCAACAAAUGCCCAUUUGAUGCUGUAUAAGUGCUGUUGUGCCUACUGCUGAACAAGCUGGUGAUGUCACUAUUUAGAAUGUUGGGUUCAAGUAAACCAGAUAAGGUUGCAUGUUGCUUGCUUGUUAAUCUAGAAGGGAGGAUACCCCUUCAAGUAGAAAGUUGAGGCUAUGUGAAGAUCUGGUAAAUCUAGGGGAGAAACAUGCAAGGGCUUAGCCGCAAGAUGAUGACGUAUGGAACUAUUACAAUAAAAUCUUUUUGAUUAAUU